GCGGGUGUAGCUCAAUGGCUAGAGCAUCAGCCUUCCAAGCUGAAUGUUGAGGGUUCGAGUCCCUUCACCCGCU
Molecule: transfer RNA, 73 nt
Filed under: Gemmatimonadota bacterium
Lineage: Bacteria; Pseudomonadati; Gemmatimonadota
Also listed under: 3 other names
Description: Gemmatimonadetes bacterium tRNA-Gly
Rfam family: tRNA
About the family: Transfer RNA (tRNA) molecules are approximately 80 nucleotides in length. Their secondary structure includes four short double-helical elements and three loops (D, anti-codon, and T loops).
Source: RNAcentral